RNAcentral lists this ribosomal RNA (463 nucleotides) under uncultured Desulfobulbus sp. RNAcentral describes it as "bacterial SSU rRNA". It matches the Rfam family "Bacterial small subunit ribosomal RNA", at positions 925 to 1382 of the family's 1533-position model. The record is from RNAcentral. Lineage: Bacteria; Pseudomonadati; Thermodesulfobacteriota; Desulfobulbia; Desulfobulbales; Desulfobulbaceae.
ACAAGCGGUGGGGUAGUGUGGUUAAUUCGAUGCAACGCGAAGAACCUUACCUGGUCUUGACAUCCCGGAGACCCUUAGGAAACUAGGGGGUGCUUCCAUCUGGAAGAAUCUGGAGACAGGUGCUGCAUGGCUGUCGUCAGCUCGUGUCGUGAGAUGUUGGGUUAAGUCCCGCAACGAGCGCAACCCUUGCCUUUAGUUGCCAGCAGUUCGGCUGGGCACUCUAAAGGGACUGCCGGUGUUAAACCGGAGGAAGGUGGGGAUGACGUCAAGUCCUCAUGGCCUUUAUGACCAGGGCUACACACGUACUACAAUGGCCGAUACAAAGGGCAGCGACACUGCGAGGUGAAGCCAAUCCCGUAAAAUCGGUCUCAGUCCGGAUUGGAGUCUGCAACUCGACUCCAUGAAGUUGGAAUCGCUAGUAAUCGUGGAUCAGCAUGCCACGGUGAAUACGUUCCCGGGCCUU